AUGUCUUCGUGCGAGGACAAGGACUCUGCUGCCACGCGGGCCGCGGCGAAGACGGACGUGGAGCUGCUAAAGCGAUUUUGGCGCAACAAGAAGGUCGCGCUGGAGAUCCUCCACUUCGACUCCGCACACGUCUCCCGUGCCCUAUGGCCAUUGGUUGAGGAGACGUUCGAUUACUUCAUGGAUAACGGCAUCGACGACCUGAUGGUCUCGUUGUACCGGAUGGAGCUCGACCGCACGCUCUUCAUGUUGUGCUCCUACCUAUUCCUCCACCUGCAAAAGAUUGAGAAGUACAUGGCGCACAUAUCCAAUUCUGUCGACCUCUUGAGCCGGUUGACGCAGCAGCAGGAGCGAUUCGCUCCCAACGACACCACAAAGCUUCACCACAAUGGACUAUGGCUCCGCGGUGACCUCAACCGUCUAGGGUGCUCAAACACCCAAGAGUAA
This 444-nucleotide ribosomal RNA is filed under the name Triticum aestivum (bread wheat). RNAcentral describes it as "partial small subunit ribosomal RNA". Lineage: Eukaryota; Viridiplantae; Streptophyta; Magnoliopsida; Poales; Poaceae. The record is from RNAcentral.